UCGGAGAAGACGGGGCACGACCACUGUGACGUCACAUCCCUUAAUAAUUAUAUUUUUACACUAUACACGUUUCACAACUAUAAUUUGAACACCUGUGUACCAUAAAUAAAUAUAUUUUUACACUAUACACAAGUGAAUCAUGUUGUGUCAUUUACAUGACGGGUAAAUUAAAUGAACAUGUCUUGAUUAGGUAUGACAUACUUUGGACAAGGAAGAGACCUGCAGAUAAAUAACACAAUUAAACAAACAAGUACUGAAAUAUAAGUGUUCCGCAUUAAGCUUGCUAGUAAGGAAAUUAUCAGGAGAUGGCUUGCUAGCUUUCACCUCUAGAUCACCCCCAUGGCAACUUGAUACAUCAGAGCAAGAAAACAUUCCCCAAUGGUUACAAACCUUCGGUGCAAAAUGACAUUCAUGGGAUCUGAAGGCAUCACUAAGAAAUAUCAGGUUCUAUAUGAGUCUGACUUAUUAAAGAACAAAGAGCAAUGAAGAAAAGUGCAGUACAUUAAAUCAAGGCCAAAUGAUACAUUGCAUGCAUCAGCGAGCAGAAAAAUAAAUGGUGUCUAAUAUUAUAUUUUCCCCUUCCAAUAGAGAGACUCCUUCUACAUGUUUAACCAGUGAUUAAUUCCGGUUACACCAAAUAAACAUAGUUCUAAAUGCUACCAACAUUUUUUAUGAAACAAAGGACAACCAAAAUUAACUCCCCUCGCGUGGAAACUUGAUGUCCUUUCAACUCUGAAAUUCCACCAAAGGUAAGCAUACAAUAAUUUUAUAGUGUAUAAUUAUACAAAAGAAGAACAUGUUACGUGUGUAGAUAGCGCAAGGUGGCAUAUUAUCAUUGAGAGCAUAUAUUAGCACAUAGUGUGAUGAAAAUUGGAACCAUAUGUACUGUCAGCAUGUCUUUCUCCUUAUUCUGUAUAUCAUCAUUUCCUCUACACUUGACAUGAUAGCUUGAGAAAAAAAAGAUGAGUAUCCAGAUAUGUACAUAGUUAUGGCUAGAUUCCUUGUUUUGUCCAAGAAAGAUAAGUCAUGAGCCCAUCAUCUUAUUACAGCAAGGCACAUCUCUAUCAGUGGUGCAAGAGGUGUAAAUUUUAUAUUUUCUUUUCAAGAAAAAACCCCUGGCAAUAUUAAACAUCAUGAUGUAACAAAUUACAAAUAUUAGUGUUAACAUAGGUUAAUAUCUAUUACUUAUGUGUGGUGCAGUUCAAUAAACCAUGAAAAAAAUUUGAAUUAUUCCUAACUAUCACCAUCAGAUCUAGGUCAAUAAAAGUUGUAGUCACAGCCUGAGCCAGAACUUUGGAUUGAGAAGGGAUUGGGAAACCCUCAAAGGAAGGAAGAAGCUCACCAAAACACAGUUACAGGCCCCAACUAUCUCAACCUUGCGCACAAAACGGCUUAAUGACUCAUAUGGGAUCAACAAGAGUGCCAGUCGCGUAAAGCUUGUUCAGAUUGCCAAGGCCGUCCACUUGAGAGCAAGACAAAAACUUAAAAUUAGGAGUCCGAAUGUGGUUAGACAAGCUAUACUAAUUUCAUUUUGAUUUUGAUCCGACAUGUGCAUUAAACAGAGCAUGGACCACGAUUGAACAGAGCAACCGCUGCAAAAUAAAUGUAUAACAAGAGCUGGCAGCAUCAACAUGUAAUAGGCAUGUAUAUUUAUCUACGGGUUUUGUCGCUAGUGAACGCAUACAGUUGCAAUUGCACUUAUGCAACCUAAAGGCGAAAGAAAAAAACCACUUGUUAACCCAAAAGACUGAAAAAGUCGUAACAAAAGAAGAAAAAAAAUAGCCUUCCUAAGUUCUCUAGUUGGGUGAAAAAAACCAGCUAUUCUAAAAGUGAGCACCAGAUUCCAGUAUGUAUCAUGCAGUUUUCUGUAUAUGGUUCACACAUGAAAAAGGGAUUUUGGCCAGUGCUAGGACAUGGCAUUUGUUGCCUGAUAAAAGAUUAGUUCAUGCUAUCUUCGGGACAAAGUGAGCACGUGAGUUACCAGACGAGAAGGGGAGGCCAUGAGUAAAGGUGGACUGAAACUUCUUGCUCGCUUGGAGCUUCAUGAAU
RNAcentral lists this long non-coding RNA (2049 nucleotides) under Triticum aestivum (bread wheat). Its description in RNAcentral is "long non-coding RNA (TAES_LNC012789)". The record is from RNAcentral. Lineage: Eukaryota; Viridiplantae; Streptophyta; Magnoliopsida; Poales; Poaceae.